GGUGAGUAACGCGUAUCCAACACUGCCCACCACUUGGGGAUAACCUUGCAAAAGUAAGACUAAUACCCAAUGAUAUCUCUAGAAGACAUCUGAAAGAGAUUAAAGAUUUAUCGGUGAUGGAUGGGGAUGCGUCUGAUUAGCUUGUUGGCGGGGUAACGGCCCACCAAGGCUACGAUCAGUAGGGGUUCUGAGAGGAAGGUCCCCCACAUUGGAACUGAGACACGGUCCAAACUCCUACGGGAGGCAGCAGUGAGGAAUAUUGGUCAAUGGACGAGAGUCUGAACCAGCCAAGUAGCGUGCAGGAUGACGGCCCUAUGGGUUGUAAACUGCUUUUAUAAGGGAAUAAAGUGAGUCUCGUGAGACUUUUUGCAUGUACCUUAUGAAUAAGGACCGGCUAAUUCCGUGCCAGCAGCCGCGGUAAUACGGAAGGUCCGGGCGUUAUCCGGAUUUAUUGGGUUUAAAGGGAGCGUAGGCCGGAGAUUAAGCGUGUUGUGAAAUGUAGACGCUCAACGUCUGCACUGCAGCGCGAACUGGUUUCCUUGAGUACGCACAAAGUGGGCGGAAUUCGUGGUGUAGCGGUGAAAUGCUUAGAUAUCACGAAGAACUCCGAUUGCGAAGGCAGCUCACUGGAGCGCAACUGACGCUGAAGCUCGAAAGUGCGGGUAUCGAACAGGAUUAGAUACCCUGGUAGUCCGCACGGUAAACGAUGGAUGCCCGCUGUUGGUCUGAAUAGGUCAGCGGCCAAGCGAAAGCAUUAAGCAUCCCACCUGGGGAGUACGCCGGCAACGGUGAAACUCAAAGGAAUUGACGGGGGCCCGCACAAGCGGAGGAACAUGUGGUUUAAUUCGAUGAUACGCGAGGAACCUUACCCGGGCUUGAAUUGCAGAGGAAGGAUUUGGAGACAAUGACGCCCUUCGGGGUCUCUGUGAAGGUGCUGCAUGGUUGUCGUCAGCUCGUGCCGUGAGGUGUCGGCUUAAGUGCCAUAACGAGCGCAACCCCUCUCCUUAGUUGCCAUCAGGUCAAGCUGGGCACUCUGGGGACACUGCCACCGUAAGGUGUGAGGAAGGUGGGGAUGACGUCAAAUCAGCACGGCCCUUACGUCCGGGGCUACACACGUGUUACAAUGGCAGGUACAGAGAGAUGGUGUUCUGCAAAGCGCAUCAAAUUACUUAAAGCCUGUCUCAGUUCGGACUGGGGUCUGCAACCCGACCCCACGAAGC
This 1220-nucleotide ribosomal RNA is filed under the name Segatella copri. RNAcentral describes it as "bacterial SSU rRNA". It matches the Rfam family "Bacterial small subunit ribosomal RNA", at positions 105 to 1326 of the family's 1533-position model. The record is from RNAcentral. Lineage: Bacteria; Pseudomonadati; Bacteroidota; Bacteroidia; Bacteroidales; Prevotellaceae.